This 997-nucleotide long non-coding RNA is filed under the name Homo sapiens (human). RNAcentral's name for it is "HSALNT0280527". Lineage: Eukaryota; Metazoa; Chordata; Mammalia; Primates; Hominidae. The record is from RNAcentral.
GCCUAGAGGCCUCACGGAGGACCCUAAAUACAGAAGCUGUGUGCUGGGGUGGUCGGAGGGAUGUGAGCUUGAGAAAAUCAGAACUCUUGCAAGCAAAAAGCAAGCUGGGCUUCAAGCGCCUGCCUUGGGACUCCCCAGCAUUUCUUUGAAAUGGUAACAUGAGGGGAAAGCGGAAUAAAAAGGGAAGGGCGUGUGAUAAUGCAGAAGGGGAUGAGCAUGUCAGGAGAUUUCUGAUGAGCCUGGUACAGUGCAUUGCCCAGACUGUCAAAACGUGUACCAGUAAAUGGGCAACAGAGCUAAGAUAUGGAACUGGAUAAUCAAGUCGUGGAUGGGGCUACGGGGAUUGCCCAUUCCUGGCUGAGAAGUUGGCAGUUUCUGUUUUGUAUUAGCAAAGAAGUUGGUUAAAGUGUCACCCAUGGCAUUUUUGGACCAAGACCUCAUGUCUACUGAAGCCGAAGCUUUGGGGGAACUGAGGAAUCCCUUCAGCAGCAGACGGCUCCAUGUGAUUCAGUGAAGGCGCACAAGCUGCUCUCCAACCGCCGUGGCUUCUUUCCUGUUCUGGUUAUUUUGCCAGUUUCACCACACCACACUCGGAGCAGUUUCCCAGAGAGCGUGGGUGUUAAUGAUCAGGAGGAACAGAGUUCUGUGAUCAAGUGAAUUUUGGAAAUGCUACGUCAAGCAGAGUUAAAUAAGGUGCGUUCCCAUAGAACAUGUUAGCACUGCUAAUAAUGUAUAUCAAGAGGGUGGUGUGUUAAGUAGGGUUUUCCAAACUUAUUUGAACACAAACUCCUUUCGUAGUUAAAGAAUAGCCAUUAAUAUCAAUCUUUUGCCCCUCAGCUCCAAACCCACACUUUGUUGCCCAGAUUGUGAUUCUGGGAUGUUUUCCCCUUGCUGACUGGCGUGAUGCUGAGCUUUGUUGGUAGAGGCUGCUGGGAUGACUCGGGAGAAGGGUAGGGCUUCUCUUUCUAGCGUUGGUAUGCUUUGCUUCUCCUUGUUC